This 468-nucleotide ribosomal RNA is filed under the name uncultured bacterium. RNAcentral's name for it is "partial 16S ribosomal RNA". It matches the Rfam family "Bacterial small subunit ribosomal RNA", at positions 28 to 507 of the family's 1533-position model. The record is from RNAcentral.
GACGAACGCUGGCGGCGUGCUUAACACAUGCAAGUCGAACGGAAAGGCCCUGCUUUUGUGGGGUGCUCGAGUGGCGAACGGGUGAGUAACACGUGAGUAACCUGCCCUUGACUUUGGGAUAACUUCAGGAAACUGGGGCUAAUACCGGAUAGGAGCUCCUGCUGCAUGGUGGGGGUUGGAAAGUUUCGGCGGUGGGGGAUGGAGCCGCGGCUUAUCAGCUUGUUGGUGGGGUAGUGGCUUACCAAGGCUUUGACGGGUAGCCGGCCUGAGAGGGUGACCGGCCACAUUGGGACUGAGAUACGGCCCAGACUCCUACGGGAGGCAGCAGUGGGGAAUAUUGCACAAUGGGCGGAAGCCUGAUGCAGCAACGCCGCGUGCGGGAUGACGGCCUUCGGGUUGUAAACCGCUUUCGCCUGUGACGAAGCGUGAGUGACGGUAAUGGGUAAAGAAGCACCGGCUAACUACGUG